RNAcentral lists this ribosomal RNA (340 nucleotides) under uncultured bacterium. RNAcentral describes it as "bacterial SSU rRNA". It matches the Rfam family "Bacterial small subunit ribosomal RNA", at positions 329 to 683 of the family's 1533-position model. The record is from RNAcentral.
UGCCAGACUCCUACGGGAGGCAGCAGUGGGGAAUAUUGGGCAAUGGGCGCAAGCCUGACCCAGCAACGCCGCGUGAAGGAAGAAGGCUUUCGGGUUGUAAACUUCUUUUAUCAGGGACGAAACAAAUGACGGUACCUGAUGAAUAAGCCACGGCUAACUACGUGCCAGCAGCCGCGGUAAUACGUAGGUGGCAAGCGUUAUCCGGAUUUACUGGGUGUAAAGGGCGUGUAGGCGGGACUGCAAGUCAGAUGUGAAAACCAUGGGCUCAACCCAUGGCCUGCAGUUGAAACUGUAGUUCUUGAGUGAUGGAGAGGCAGGCGGAAGUCCGUGUGUAGCGGUG